This 403-nucleotide ribosomal RNA is filed under the name uncultured bacterium. RNAcentral describes it as "bacterial SSU rRNA". It matches the Rfam family "Bacterial small subunit ribosomal RNA", at positions 29 to 433 of the family's 1533-position model. The record is from RNAcentral.
AUUGAACGCUGGCGGCGUGCCUAACACAUGCAAGUCGAGCGGCAGCGCGGGAGCAAUCCUGGCGGCGAGCGGCGAACGGGUGAGUAAUGCUUCGGAAUCUGCCCAUGUAGUGGGGAAUAACCAGCCGAAAGGUUGGCUAAUACCGCAUACGACCUACGGGUGAAAGCAGGGGAUCGCAAGACCUUGCGCUAUUGGAUGAGCCGAAGUCGGAUUAGCUAGUGGUGGGGUAACGGCCUACCAAGGCGACGAUCCGUAGCUGGUCUGAGAGGACGACCAGCCACACUGGGACUGAGACACGGCCCAGACUCCUACGGGAGGCAGCAGUGGGGAAUAUUGGACAAUGGGGGCAACCCUGAUCCAGCGACGCCGCGUGUGUGAAGAAGGCCUGCGGGUUGUAAAGCAC